Pristis pectinata (smalltooth sawfish) is the source of this 168-nucleotide small nuclear RNA. RefSeq annotates it as U1 spliceosomal RNA. Lineage: Eukaryota; Metazoa; Chordata; Chondrichthyes; Rhinopristiformes; Pristidae. The record is from RefSeq and is a predicted model, not a curated record. The transcript has a single exon.
UCUUUUAUUAUGAAUAAAGUUUAUUUUGAUUUAAUAAAAAAAAAGUUCUCCCAGGACGAGGCUAGCCCAUUGCACUUCGGGUGCGCUGAUGCCUGCGAUGCCCCCAGAUGCGGGAUACUCGACUUCAAAAUUUGUGGUAGUGAGGGACUGCAUUCGUGCUCUCCCCUG